UACGUAGGGUGCGAGCGUUGUCCGGAAUUAUUGGGCGUAAAGGGCUCGUAGGCGGUCUGUUACGUCUGGUGUGAAAACUCGGGGCUCAACCCCGAGCCUGCUUCCGAUACGGGCAGACUAGAGGUAUGCAGGGGAGAAUGGAAUUCCUGGUGUAGCGGUGAAAUGCGCAGAUAUCAGGAGGAACACCGGUGGCGAAGGCGGUUCUCUGGGCAUUACCUGACGCUGAGGAGCGAAAGUGUGGGGAGCGAACAGG
RNAcentral lists this ribosomal RNA (253 nucleotides) under uncultured bacterium. RNAcentral's name for it is "partial 16S ribosomal RNA". It matches the Rfam family "Bacterial small subunit ribosomal RNA", at positions 524 to 776 of the family's 1533-position model. The record is from RNAcentral.